Molecule: ribosomal RNA, 434 nt
Filed under: uncultured bacterium
Lineage: Bacteria
Description: bacterial SSU rRNA
Rfam family: Archaeal small subunit ribosomal RNA
Source: RNAcentral
ACUGAAUAGAUACCCGGGUGGUCCCAGCCGUAAACGAUGCUCGCUAGGUGUCAGGCAUGGCGCGACCGUGUCUGGUGCCGCAGGGAAGCCGUGAAGCGAGCCACCUGGGAAGUACGGCCGCAAGGCUGAAACUUAAAGGAAUUGGCGGGGGAGCACAACAACGGGUGGAGCCUGCGGUUUAAUUGGACUCAACGCCGGACAACUCACCGGGGACGACAGCAAAAUGUAGGCCAGGCUGAAGACCUUGCCUGAAUCGCUGAGAGGAGGUGCAUGGCCGUCGCCAGUUCGUACUGUGAAGCAUCCUGUUAAGUCAGGCAACGAGCGAGACCCGUGCCCACUGUUACCAGCAUGUCCUCCGGGAUGAUGGGUACACUGUGGGGACCGCCGGUGUUAAAUCGGAGGAAGGUGCGGGCUACGGUAGGUCAGUAUGCCCC